Manihot esculenta (cassava) is the source of this 427-nucleotide long non-coding RNA. RefSeq lists it as uncharacterized. NCBI's taxonomy places the organism in Eukaryota, Viridiplantae, Streptophyta, Magnoliopsida, Malpighiales, Euphorbiaceae. The transcript is spliced from 2 exons. The record is from RefSeq and is a predicted model, not a curated record.
UUAGGGCAAAACCAUCAAUAUACUUAGCAGAUUUCAGUAAGGAAGAAAGAUCGAGAGGAGAAUGUCAAGCCUAUGCCCAUCAGAAAUUAAGAAUGCAUGGCCAGAGCUUGUUGGAAUAGAUGGAAAUUGUGCAGCAGCUAUUAUAGAAAGAGAGAACAAAUAUGUGAAAGCAAUCGUGCUCAAGGAUGGAACACCUACAACAAAAGAUAUCCAAUGCUGGAGGGUCUGGGUUUGGGUGGAUGAAAAUAAUGUGGUCAUUCGAACUCCUGAAGCGGGUUAAAAAAUAAACGUCAUGUAAUAUCAAAUAAAAAGUCUCUGUACUUUGAGACUUUCAGAAUAAAUAUUUGAGUUGUAUGGGUUGAUAUACCUAAUUAUGCAAUUAAAAGUUGGAUUGCAACUCAAUUAUAAAAGUUGAUUAAAAUAUUAA